GGUCUUGUAACUCAGUUGGUAGAGUGCCACCCUUACAAGGUGGAGGUCGCAAGUUCGAGUCUUGCCGGGACCACCA
This 76-nucleotide transfer RNA is filed under the name Myxococcales bacterium. Its description in RNAcentral is "tRNA-Val". It matches the Rfam family "tRNA". Rfam says of the family: Transfer RNA (tRNA) molecules are approximately 80 nucleotides in length. The record is from RNAcentral. Lineage: Bacteria; Pseudomonadati; Myxococcota; Myxococcia; Myxococcales. RNAcentral also lists the same sequence under 1 other name.